AUGCACAAUCACAAUAAAUUUUCAAUUUUGCUAAGGACCAACGGUUUUUCGAAUGAGUUUCAUAGUCUGUAAUUUUUGUGAUUUUAUCCAGGAAAUAUAGGAGCUGUGGUGAUGAAAUUUUCCAACACAAAAGAAAAAGACAUAGAAGCAGUAUGGUAAUCAAAUACUGGCUGAAGUCUCCAAAAACUCGGUUUACCAGCAAAGAGAAAUCUAAAAAUGUUCAAACACCGGAUCCUGGAGGAAAAUCUGAAUGCUACAAAAAUUGAGAUUGAAUUGAGGUGCAGUAACAUAAACCAGUAUGUAGCUCAAAAAAUUGCUACUUUAAACAGGAAGAGAUUAAAGUAUUCUGGAGCACCACAAUAAGGACCUUUCUUAAUAGAUAAAUGACAUGCAUAUGAGUUAUUUUAAUAAACAAACUUCUCACAUUAUUUAUGUCUUAACUAUUUACA
Nilaparvata lugens (brown planthopper) is the source of this 449-nucleotide long non-coding RNA. RefSeq lists it as uncharacterized. The transcript has 3 exons. The record is from RefSeq and is a predicted model, not a curated record. Lineage: Eukaryota; Metazoa; Arthropoda; Insecta; Hemiptera; Delphacidae.